GAUGAACGCUGGCGGCGUGCCUAAUACAUGCAAGUCGAGCGAACGGACGAGAAGCUUGCUUCUCUGAUGUUAGCGGCGGACGGGUGAGUAACACGUGGAUAACCUACCUAUAAGACUGGGAUAACUUCGGGAAACCGGAUCUAAUACCGGAUAAUAUUUUGAACCGCAUGGUUCAACAGUGAAAGACGGUCUUGCUGUCACUUAUAGAUGGAUCCGCGCUGCAUUAGCUAGUUGGUAAGGUAACGGCUUACCAAGGCAACGAUGCAUAGCCGACCUGAGAGGGUGAUCAGCCACACUGGAACUGAGACACGGUCCAGACUCCUACGGGAGGCAGCAGUAGGGAAUCUUCCGCAAUGGGCGAAAGCCUGACGGAGCAACGCCGCGUGAGUGAUGAAGGUCUUCGGAUCGUAAAACUCUGUUAUUAGGGAAGAACAGAUGUGUAAGUAACUGUGCACAUCUUGACGGUACCAAAUCAGAAAGCCACGGCUAACUACGUG
RNAcentral lists this ribosomal RNA (497 nucleotides) under uncultured bacterium. RNAcentral describes it as "partial 16S ribosomal RNA". It matches the Rfam family "Bacterial small subunit ribosomal RNA", at positions 28 to 507 of the family's 1533-position model. The record is from RNAcentral.